CAGAGGGUGCAAACGUUGUUCGGAAUUACUGGGCGUAAAGCGCGUGCAGGCGGCUUUGCAAGUCGGACGUGAAAUCCCACGGCUCAACCGUGGAAGUGCAUUCGAAACUGCGAGGCUGGAGUCCUGGAGAGGAAAGUGGAAUACUCGGUGUAGAGGUGAAAUUCGUAGAUAUCGAGUGGAACACCGGUGGCGAAGGCGGCUUUCUGGACAGGUACUGACGCUGAGACGCGAAAGCGUGGGGAGCAAACAGGAUUAGAUACCCUGGUAGUCCACGCCGUAAACGAUGAGUGCUAGGUGUCACGGGCUUUGACCCUCGUGGUGCCGAAGCUAACGCGUUAAGCACUCCGCCUGGGGAGUACGGCCGCAAGGCUA
Molecule: ribosomal RNA, 372 nt
Filed under: uncultured organism
Description: bacterial SSU rRNA
Rfam family: Bacterial small subunit ribosomal RNA
Source: RNAcentral